Molecule: ribosomal RNA, 253 nt
Filed under: uncultured bacterium
Lineage: Bacteria
Description: partial 16S ribosomal RNA
Rfam family: Bacterial small subunit ribosomal RNA
Source: RNAcentral
UACAGAGGUCUCAAGCGUUGUUCGGAUUCAUUGGGCGUAAAGGGCGCGUAGGCUGCGGGGCAAGUCGGGUGUGAAAUCUCAGAGCUCAACUCUGAAACUGCACUCGAUACUGCUUUGCUUGAGGACUGGAGAGGAGAUUGGAAUUUACGGUGUAGCGGUGAAAUGCGUAGAUAUCGUAAGGAAGACCAGUGGCGAAGGCGGGUCUCUGGACAGUUCCUGACGCUGAGGCACGAAGGCCAGGGGAGCAAACGGG